AGUGAACGCUGGCGGUAGGCCUAACACAUGCAAGUCGAACGGCAGCACAGUAAGAGCUUGCUCUUACGGGUGGCGAGUGGCGGACGGGUGAGGAAUACAUCGGAAUCUACUUUUUCGUGGGGGAUAACGUAGGGAAACUUACGCUAAUACCGCAUACGACCUACGGGUGAAAGCAGGGGAUCUUCGGACCUUUCGCGAUUGAAUGAGCCGAUGUCGGAUUAGCUAGUUGGCGGGGUAAAGGCCCACCAAGGCGACGAUCCGUGGCUGGUCUGAGAGGAUGAUCAGCCACACUGGAACUGAGACACGGUCCAGACUCCUAAGGGAGGCAGCAGUGGGGAAUAUUGGACAAUGGGCGCAAGCAUGAUCCAGCCAUACCGCGUGGGUGAAGAAGGCCUUCGGGUUGUAAAGCCCUUUUGUUGGGAAAGAAAAGCAGCAGGUUAAUACCCCGCUGUUCUGACGGUACCCAAAGAAUAAGCACCGGCUAACUUCGUG
RNAcentral lists this ribosomal RNA (492 nucleotides) under uncultured bacterium. RNAcentral describes it as "partial 16S ribosomal RNA". It matches the Rfam family "Bacterial small subunit ribosomal RNA", at positions 29 to 507 of the family's 1533-position model. The record is from RNAcentral.